GUGUUAUAACAUUAUUAUUAGAUUUAAUUGUAUACAGCUCCCUGUAAAUAUAUUAAAUAAUAGAUAUAUCCCUACAAAAUUUAACUUUUCAUAUUUAUCUCUAUAAAAAUCCUAAUAUUUUUAAAUAUAUCCCUACUAUUAAGAUCCGAUAGAAAAAUAUAGUUACUCAUAGAUAAAAUACUUCACUCUGAUUAGCGAACAAGGCAAAUUGAUCUUUUUACCCCUUUUAUAUUAUUUGUGAUGGUGGAAAGGAAGAAGACCACUGAAAUUUUUUGGGAGGUCAUUUUUGCAUAAUUCUAAUAAUUGGGGCUUUUGGAGGGACAUAUUUGUAAUAGUAAAAAUGUCAUUUUACUUAUCUUCUACUAAAAAAUAAACAGUGCCCUCACGGUAAUAAACCAGAGAGACAAAUAUGAAUAUUACUAGACUUUUGUAGGGAUAAAUAUGAAAAUUAAACUUUGUAGGAAUAUAUUUGUUAUUUGAUAUGUUUACGGGAAGCUGUAUGAAAUUAACCCUUACUAUUAUGCUUAAAAACCUACAUACUCUGUGGUUAUAUUUCUGCUCCUAUCUUUUCUUUUUUUACU
This 581-nucleotide long non-coding RNA is filed under the name Ananas comosus (pineapple). RNAcentral's name for it is "long non-coding RNA (ACOM_LNC019863)". Lineage: Eukaryota; Viridiplantae; Streptophyta; Magnoliopsida; Poales; Bromeliaceae. The record is from RNAcentral.